Molecule: long non-coding RNA, 731 nt
Filed under: Cucumis sativus (cucumber)
Lineage: Eukaryota; Viridiplantae; Streptophyta; Magnoliopsida; Cucurbitales; Cucurbitaceae
Description: long non-coding RNA (CSAT_LNC000536)
Source: RNAcentral
CCAAGUAUGGCAAUGGUGGUGGUAGUCGGCUUUGGUUGAUUGGUACUGCAACUUGUGAGACGUAUUUAAGAUGUCAAGUUUAUCAUGCUUCCAUGGAGAAUGAUUGGGACUUGCAGGCUGUGCCUAUUGCUGCCCGAGCGCCUCUUCCUGGAUUGUUUCCGAGGUAUGGUUCGUAGUCUUCUAUUGAUUUCAAUCUGUUUAUGUAUGAAUAGCUUAUUCAAUUUUUGGCGAUAUUUUUGUGUAGGUUUGAACUAUUUAGCUGUGUAGUUUGCAUCUGAUUUGAUUAGGUGGUUAGGAGUUGACCGAUAUGGUUCGAAUUUGGGUAGUAGAAGAUAACUGAUUGUUAAUCUAAGUAGAACGACACCUUUUCAUUUCUCAGAUUCAUUUUGACUUUAGAACAGCUUAAGUUCUCAGAUUCAUUCUGUUGUUGGUUUUUGAUUGAAUUCUUCAAACUUAACCUAUAUCAUGUUUAUUAGGCUUGGUACCACUGGGAUCCUUAAUAGCCCAGUUGAAUCAUUAUCCUCGAUCAAGGGAUUUCCGACUAUUUCCACCAUUCCGAUGCGGCCACUGAUGCAUGAGAACCUGGAUUCUUCUCGGAAAUCAAGUUGUUGCUCCCAAUGUAUGCAAAAUUAUGAACGGGAAUUGGAAAAGUUUGUGGCCAAUGAGUUGGACAAACCAUCUUCUGUAACUAAACCGGAAGGAGCCAAAGCAUCUGCUCUCCCUCCAUGGCU